UGAGGAAUCAUGCGCAAUGGGGGCAACCCUGACGCUGCGACGCCGCGUGGACGAUGAAGGCUUUCGAGUCGUAAAGUCCUGUCGAGAGGGAAGAAAGUUUCCACGGCUAAUACCCGUGGAGAUUGACGGUACCUCUGGAGGAAGCCCCGGCUAACUCCGUGCCAGCAGCCGCGGUAACACGGAGGGGGCAAGCGUUGUUCGGAAUUACUGGGCGUAAAGAGCGCGUAGGCGGGAAUGUAAGUCGGGUGUGAAAGCCCUCGGCUCAACCGAGGAACUGCAUUCGAUACUGCAUUUCUUGAGUUCGGUAGGGGAUAGUGGAAUUCCUGGUGUAGCGGUGGAAUGCGUAGAUA
This 350-nucleotide ribosomal RNA is filed under the name uncultured bacterium. RNAcentral's name for it is "bacterial SSU rRNA". It matches the Rfam family "Bacterial small subunit ribosomal RNA", at positions 355 to 696 of the family's 1533-position model. The record is from RNAcentral.